RNAcentral lists this ribosomal RNA (1033 nucleotides) under Cunninghamella blakesleeana. Its description in RNAcentral is "LSU rRNA". It matches the Rfam family "Eukaryotic large subunit ribosomal RNA", at positions 38 to 964 of the family's 3401-position model. The record is from RNAcentral. Lineage: Eukaryota; Fungi; Mucoromycota; Mucoromycetes; Mucorales; Cunninghamellaceae.
GCAUUAUCAUAGCGAGGAAAAGAAAUACAUGAUUCCCCUUAGUAACGGCGAGUGAAGAGGGAAAAGCUCAAAGUUGGAACCUGGUGGGCAUAGCUCACCCGGAUUGUAAACUAAAGUUUUUGAGUCGUUUAGUCAGCCAGGUAAAUAAGUCCUCUGGAAAGGGGCGACAUAGAGGGUGAAAUCCCCGUCUUUGGCCUGAGUUUUGAUUAGGCGUUUGGCUUGGAAACGAAGAGUCAGGUUGUUUGGGAAUGCAGCCUAAAAUGGGAGGUAAAUCUCUCCUAAAGCUAAAUAUUGACGAAAGACCGAUAGCGAACAAGUACCGUGAGGGAAAGAUGAAAAGCACUUUGAAAAGAGGGUCAAAAAGUACGUGAAAUUGCUGAAAGGGAACCGUAUGAAAUCAGACUUACUGGUAGGUAAUCAAUCUUUCCCUUGGGAAGGAUGCACUUGCCUGCUAUGUACGCCAGCGACAUUUUGGUUGUGGAGGAAAAAAAUAGUUGGAAUGUAGCCUGGGUUUCGGCUUAGGUGUUAUAGACUACUAUAAAAUACUCUCGGCUAGAAUGAGGAACGCAGCAAACCGUAAGGCGAAGAUUUUAGGCGCUUGGGGGGAAUCAUUAGAGAAUUUCUGCUUCGGGUGGUGCUUUAGUGAUUUCGUUCAACUCGUUUGAAUUUCUUUUUAUUUGCUUAGGUUGUUGGCUUAAUGAUUUUAUAUGACCCGUCUUGAAACACGGACCAAGGAGUCCACCAUAUGCGCGAGUCUUUGGGUGUAGAAACCCAUGGGCGGAAGGAAAUUGACUAAGAUACCAAGGCUUUAGCUGGCAGUAUCCCCCGGCAUAGACGUUUUAUACUGAAAUGACUGAGGGCAAGCGCUUAUGAUGGGACCCGAAAGAUGGUGAACUAUACUUGAAUAGGGUAAAGCCAGAGGAAACUUCUGGUGGAAGCUCGCAGCGAUUCUGACGUGCAAAUCGAUCGUCAAAUUUGAGUAUAGGGGCGAAAAGACUAAUCGAAACCAUCUAGUAGCUGGGUUCCCUGCCGA